GACACCCUGCAGUGUUCGAGGUGCUUUAAUAACUGCUCUUUGCCUUAGAAUUAUUACGGGAGCCGAAACCGUCGCGGAAGAUGCUAGGCCGUCCAUCGGAAAGCAGACGCUGCGGAGGAGGCGCCCACCUUAACCUAAAAAGGUCCUGAGCCUUUGGGCAUACGGCACAGGUGGGGUGUCA
This 181-nucleotide non-coding RNA is filed under the name Opitutia bacterium. RNAcentral's name for it is "Opitutae bacterium 6S RNA". It matches the Rfam family "6S / SsrS RNA". Rfam says of the family: E. coli 6S RNA was the first non coding RNA to be sequenced, but its function was unknown until recently. It consists of 184 nucleotides that fold into an extended hairpin structure with a large single-stranded internal bulge. Lineage: Bacteria; Pseudomonadati; Verrucomicrobiota; Opitutia. The record is from RNAcentral.